RNAcentral lists this ribosomal RNA (479 nucleotides) under uncultured bacterium. Its description in RNAcentral is "bacterial SSU rRNA". It matches the Rfam family "Bacterial small subunit ribosomal RNA", at positions 330 to 801 of the family's 1533-position model. The record is from RNAcentral.
UGCGAACUCCUACGGGAGGGAGCAGUAGGGAAUCUUCGGCAAUGGACGAAAGUCUGACCGAGCAACGCCGCGUGAGUGAAGAAGGUUUUCGGAUCGUAAAGCUCUGUUGUAAGAGAAGAACGGGUGUGAGAGUGGAAAGUUCACACUGUGACGGUAUCUUACCAGAAAGGGACGGCUAACUACGUGCCAGCAGCCGCGGUAAUACGUAGGUCCCGAGCGUUGUCCGGAUUUAUUGGGCGUAAAGCGAGCGCAGGCGGUUAGAUAAGUCUGAAGUUAAAGGCUGUGGCUUAACCAUAGUACGCUUUGGAAACUGUUUAACUUGAGUGCAGAAGGGGAGAGUGGAAUUCCAUGUGUAGCGGUGAAAUGCGUAGAUAUAUGGAGGAACACCGGUGGCGAAAGCGGCUCUCUGGUCUGUAACUGACGCUGAGGCUCGAAAGCGUGGGGAGCGAACAGGAUUAGAUACACGAGUAGUCCAGAUG